GGUUAGACGAAGAACUCGAGUAGAAGAAAUGUUAAUUUUAGUUAACGAGUCAAUUAAUCAAGAUUGUUUUCUUUUUUUAUGGGUGAAAUCUUAAUAAAAAGAUAUUCUAUCUUUUAUAAUUGAAAGGAACUAAAAAACUUAGUGUAAAGACCAGGAUUAGAUACCCUGUUAUUCUAAGCCAUUAUUAAAUAGGGUAGUAAAAGUUGUUCUUCAAACCCAAAGAUUUUGGCGGCACCUUAUCCAAAUAGAGGAGCUUGCCCCUUAAUCGAUAAUCCCCGUUUUAUCUUUCCUUUACUUGUAAAGUUUGUAUACCGCCGUUGUCAGAUUACCUUUAGAGAGUGUUUUCUAUAAAAAAAACUUUUUUACUUCAGGUCAAGGUGCAGUUUAUGUAAAGGUGGUGGUGAGCUACAAUUUUUUUAGAAAGACGGAUCUCAGAUUUUAAAAAUGAUUGAAGGUGGAUUUAUUAGUAAAAUAAUUUAAGUAAAAUUAAUUGAAUUGUGCAAUAUAGUGUGU
This 513-nucleotide ribosomal RNA is filed under the name Daphnia longispina group lineage V. RNAcentral's name for it is "partial 12S ribosomal RNA". Lineage: Eukaryota; Metazoa; Arthropoda; Branchiopoda; Diplostraca; Daphniidae. The record is from RNAcentral.